UUUUUGAAGUCUUCGGAUGGAUAGAAGAACCCCUGAUGCCGUCGAGCCAAGAAAAGUUUCUAAGUUUAGCUAAUGUUGCCCGUACCGUAAACCGACACAGGUGGGUGGGAUGAGUAUUCUAAGGCGCGUGGAAGAACUCUCUUUAAGGAACUCUGCAAAAUAGCACCGUAUCUUCGGUAUAAGGUGUGGUUAGCUUCGUACUAGGAUUUACUCCGAAAGCGAAGAAACUUACAACAAAGAGUCCCUCCCGACUGUUUACCAAAAACACAGCACUCUGCUAACUCGUAAGAGGAUGUAUAGGGUGUGACGCCUGCCCGGUGCUCGAAGGUUAAUUGAUGGGGUUAGCAUUAGCGAAGCUCUUGAUCGAAGCCCGAGUAAACGGCGGCCGUAACUAUAACGGUCCUAAGGUAGCGAAAUUCCUUGUCGGUUAAAUACCGACCUGCAUGAAUGGCGUAACGAGAUGGGAGCUGUCUCAAAGAGGGAUCCAGUGAAAUUGUAGUGGAGGUGAAAAUUCCUCCUACCCGCGGCAAGACGGAAAGACCCCGUGGACCUUUACUACAGCUUGACACUGCUACUUGGAUAAGAAUGUGCAGGAUAGGUGGGAGGCUUUGAGUAUAUGACGCCAGUUGUAUAUGAGCCAUUGUUGAGAUACCACUCUUUCUUAUUUGGGUAGCUAACCAGCUUGAGUUAUCCUCAAGUGGGACAAUGUCUGGUGGGUAGUUUGACUGGGGCGGUCGCCUCCCAAAUAAUAACGGAGGCUUACAAAGGUUGGCUCAGAACGGUUGGAAAUCGUUCGUAGAGUAUAAAGGUAUAAGCCAGCUUAACUGCAAGACAUACAAGUCAAGCAGAGACGAAAGUCGGUCUUAGUGAUCCGGUGGUUCUGUGUGGAAGGGCCAUCGCUCAAAGGAUAAAAGGUACCCCGGGGAUAACAGGCUGAUCUCCCCCAAGAGCUCACAUCGACGGGGAGGUUUGGCACCUCGAUGUCGGCUCAUCGCAUCCUGGGGCUGGAGCAGGUCCCAAGGGUAUGGCUGUUCGCCAUUUAAAGCGGUACGCGAGCUGGGUUCAGAACGUCGUGAGACAGUUCGGUCCCUAUCUGCCGUGGGCGUAAGAAGAUUGAAGAGAUUUGACCCUAGUACGAGAGGACCGGGUUGAACAAACCACUGGUGUAGCUGUUGUUCUGCCAAGAGCAUCGCAGCGUAGCUAAGUUUGGAAAGGAUAAACGCUGAAAGCAUCUAAGCGUGAAGCCAACUCUAAGAUGAAUCUUCUCUAAGCUCUCUAGAAGACUACUAGUUUGAUAGGCUGGGUGUGUAAUGGAUGAAAGUCCUUUAGCUGACCAGUACUAAUAGAGCGUUUGGCUUAUCUUUAAUAAAGCAU
RNAcentral lists this ribosomal RNA (1374 nucleotides) under Campylobacter jejuni. RNAcentral's name for it is "partial 23S ribosomal RNA". It matches the Rfam family "Bacterial large subunit ribosomal RNA", at positions 1561 to 2925 of the family's 2925-position model. The record is from RNAcentral. Lineage: Bacteria; Pseudomonadati; Campylobacterota; Epsilonproteobacteria; Campylobacterales; Campylobacteraceae.